This is an RNA transcript of Nicotiana attenuata, 2956 nucleotides long. It is a transcript of the gene named calmodulin-binding protein 60 A-like, with no coding region annotated. The transcript is spliced from 9 exons. The record is from RefSeq and is a predicted model, not a curated record. NCBI's taxonomy places the organism in Eukaryota, Viridiplantae, Streptophyta, Magnoliopsida, Solanales, Solanaceae.
UCUGUUUUCUACCUAUUCACUUUCAUAUCCCCAAUCAUAAACUACUUUACAUUUGUUCUUACUAAUAUCCAUAAACUUUUGAGUUUUAAACUUUCCAUGAAUGACAUAAUGUCGAAUUCUCAGGAAUUAGGAACACAGAACAGCAAUUCAGAGGAUGAGCUGUUACCCUUUUUCUCUUCACCAACUAUGAAGAAAUUGCUGGAGGUGAUGGUUAUCCAGACCUUUGACCGCGUUUUAAAGCCAACGUUGGAGAAUUUGAUUCGUAAUGUUGUAAAACACGAACUUGAACUGGCAGAGAAGAAGUUUUUGACUGCCAAGGGAAACACUGAAAAAGGUAUUCAAGCUCCCAAACCAAGAAGCUUGAGGUUAAAGUUCUUGACAAAGGUAUCCGACCCUGUACUUACCGGAGUGGAAAUCAAAGAAGAAGGAGGUAAUGCUAUUGAAGUGGCUUUAGUUGAUGAUAAUACUGGAGAAAUUGUUGAAUCUGGAUCAGAAGCAUCAGCUAAAGUAGAGAUAGUUGUACUUAGGGGAGAAUUUGGAGAUGAUGAUGGAGGUAAUUGGACAGCUGAAGAGUUCUGUAGAAAUAUUGUCAGCGAGAGGAAAGGAAAUAAGUCUCUUCUUGCAGAAACUGUACAUGUGAGACUCAAUAAAGGCGUUGGUUCUAUAGAUCAGCUAAGAUUUACACAUUCUUCAAUCUAUAUGAGAACGGGUAUGUUCAGGCUAGGUGCAAGAAUUGUUGACACUUUCAAUAAUGUUCAAGUAAAAGAAGCAAGGACUGAAUCUUUCACGGUCAAGGAUGGGCGCCAGCAAUAUUAUGAGAAGCAUGAUCCACCAUCUCUAUCCGAUGGGGUACAUCGGUUAAUAAACGUAGGCAGAGGCAGUAAGAAGAACCUCCGGGUUGAAAAUGUCAACACAGUGGAGGACUUUCUGAUUUUGCUCCUCAAAGACCAUGACCGACUCAAAUGUGUACUUAAUCUAAAGCCAAGACAAUUGGAGGAGACAUUAAGCCAUGCUCGAAGAUGCAUAAUCAAUGAACGGAUGUACUCUUUUAUUGACUUUCAAGAAAAGGAAGGUGUGGUUUUUAACAUUGUUGGAGAGGUGCUAGGGCUUAUUCUGGAGUUCCAUUAUCUACCUAUGCAUCUGUUAUCUGAAAGUGAUAAGGCUAAGGCUCAGAGGCUGCUAGUAUCUGCAUGUGAACAUUGGGAUCUUGUGGUACCGGUUGAUGAUGAGACAUCUCUUGUGCAAUAUCUUUCUCAAAUAUUGCCAAACCCUUUGAAUUCUCCAAGUCGAGAGGUUCCUAGCACCAAUAACGCCGUUGAGAAUUUAAGAAUAAGUGAUGGACGUUGUCAUACCUCCAGAGUUGCAAGUGCAGUCAGUCCGAAUGGUUGUGGUUCCACCAGUAUCAGUAACCUAGAUUUCUCCAACUUCCCAAUAUAUAGUCCUUCAUUCCAAGAUAUUUUGAUUAAUGAAUUCAACUUCGGGUGUGAAGACUUUGUUUCUGAAUCCGAUGCUCAUCAACCUCAUGAUUCUUCUGCAUCUAUGCUAAAAGCGCAGAGGCGGUGGAGAUUGUUGUUCGGUGUCUUAAAAUUUCUCUGUGCAAAAAGAAGAGCUGCAGCAUUAGAUAUUCAAGUUCUGAAGAAGCGGAAAGUCAUUUGAUUCUGUGGCUUUAGCCUGUUACUAAAGAGUUUGACAGCAGGUGGAGCUCGAAGAGCCAGUCAAGAAAGGAAAACUAAAGUCGCGUGGGGAAGUACUAAUUGACUUGUUGAGAAAAUAGUCAACAAAUUACUGGAGAUUUGGACUAGAUGCAUUGAAUAGAACUGCAACAAAAAGAAAUGUAGAGACAACACAGGUAUGAUUCUUUUUUAUGCUUAUCGAAGAAAAAUAACUUGUUGCUCUAGUAAUAUGGAAAGAGUUUGUCAAAAACAAUAUGGAAAGAGUUUAAGCUAUAAACACCAUCAGUAUAAAGAAUUCUUUAUACUAUCAGGUCAUUCAAUGGAUAUCUGCAGGUAAAGCCUUCUUAAAAUGUUAUCUUAAAAAUAAGACAAGUUACCUGCUACAACACGUAAAGGUGACCUGGAAAUUACUCGAUGCUAGUGUAUGCCUCUCUCUCUCUCUCAAUAAUUUGUGUAGUAUCUAUGCUGGUUUUCUUAUUUUUCAAGCUAGAUACAAGGAAAAUGAAUUUUCAUUGAGCACCUCCUUUAAGGUUACUAGUUUUUAUCUGUCUCUCCGUUUCUUAUGUCCUCAACUAGCACUACUUAAAGUUCUUUCCAAUGCCACUCUUAACACUUACAAACUGCUUCUAUGCCUUCUCAAGUGAUGUUCUCAUCACUCAUGUUGGCUGAAUUAUCUAACUUAGAGAAAUCAUACAUGUUGCCUUAUUUCAUUAUUUUUCCUCAUAGAAGUCCUCUGAAUCCUGACAACAUAGAAAAUUAUUGAUCGCGGUUAGUUAUCUCAUCAGAAAUGAUUUGCUGUACAACUGCACCUGGUUAUUUUAUGAGCUUUCAUUAUGACCAUUUCACAUGAGGUGUAAAAUAUAAGCAUUACCACAAAAAAUUGAAUUAAGUGGAGGAGAAGUUUUAGAUUGUCAAUAUUACAUGUUUUGUCUUUCAGCUUUCUGAAACAUGGAACUCUGCAUGACUACUGAUAGAUCUCAUUCUAAUGCCAUGAUGAAUACUGCAGAGAUGAAUUGCUUUUGGGAUUCACCUAUUAGCAGAACACAUGCCAUGACGAGGUUCCAAAUAUUAAUGGAUCUGAAGCCAAUACAUGAGGCAACCUGCAUAUCAAUUGAAAGGCUGAGAAAGGUACUCGUGUAAUAAAUACAUUCACUGGCAGGAACAAAAAAAGUGCGUUCUUUGUGAUUAUGCGUUUAGUUGAAAUCCUUUAAAUGGUAUGAACAGCAAUAACUAAGAACUUAGCUUAAAGGAAAUGAUGACCAUAUAGGGACACCAUAGUCUUU